This 216-nucleotide ribosomal RNA is filed under the name Schizochytrium aggregatum. Its description in RNAcentral is "partial Bacterial large subunit ribosomal RNA". It matches the Rfam family "Bacterial large subunit ribosomal RNA", at positions 520 to 733 of the family's 2925-position model. The record is from RNAcentral. Lineage: Eukaryota; Bigyra; Thraustochytrida; Thraustochytriidae.
AGCACCCCGACGGGGGGAGUGAAACAGCACCUGAAACCGGAUGCUUACAAACAGUGGGAGCUCAAGGUUCGUCCUGAGUGACCGCGUACCUUUUGUAUAAUGGGUCAGCGACUUAAAGUUACGAGCGAGCUUAAGCCGGUAGGUGGAGGCGCAGCGAAAGCGAGUCUGAACAGGGCGUUCAGUUCGUGGCUUUAGACCCGAAACCGAGUGAUCUAG